RNAcentral lists this ribosomal RNA (1550 nucleotides) under Salmonella enterica subsp. enterica serovar Montevideo str. IA_2009159199. RNAcentral describes it as "bacterial SSU rRNA". It matches the Rfam family "Bacterial small subunit ribosomal RNA". Lineage: Bacteria; Pseudomonadati; Pseudomonadota; Gammaproteobacteria; Enterobacterales; Enterobacteriaceae. The record is from RNAcentral.
AAAUUGAAGAGUUUGAUCAUGGCUCAGAUUGAACGCUGGCGGCAGGCCUAACACAUGCAAGUCGAACGGUAACAGGAAGCAGCUUGCUGCUUUGCUGACGAGUGGCGGACGGGUGAGUAAUGUCUGGGAAACUGCCUGAUGGAGGGGGAUAACUACUGGAAACGGUGGCUAAUACCGCAUAACGUCGCAAGACCAAAGAGGGGGACCUUCGGGCCUCUUGCCAUCAGAUGUGCCCAGAUGGGAUUAGCUUGUUGGUGAGGUAACGGCUCACCAAGGCGACGAUCCCUAGCUGGUCUGAGAGGAUGACCAGCCACACUGGAACUGAGACACGGUCCAGACUCCUACGGGAGGCAGCAGUGGGGAAUAUUGCACAAUGGGCGCAAGCCUGAUGCAGCCAUGCCGCGUGUAUGAAGAAGGCCUUCGGGUUGUAAAGUACUUUCAGCGGGGAGGAAGGUGUUGUGGUUAAUAACCGCAGCAAUUGACGUUACCCGCAGAAGAAGCACCGGCUAACUCCGUGCCAGCAGCCGCGGUAAUACGGAGGGUGCAAGCGUUAAUCGGAAUUACUGGGCGUAAAGCGCACGCAGGCGGUCUGUCAAGUCGGAUGUGAAAUCCCCGGGCUCAACCUGGGAACUGCAUUCGAAACUGGCAGGCUUGAGUCUUGUAGAGGGGGGUAGAAUUCCAGGUGUAGCGGUGAAAUGCGUAGAGAUCUGGAGGAAUACCGGUGGCGAAGGCGGCCCCCUGGACAAAGACUGACGCUCAGGUGCGAAAGCGUGGGGAGCAAACAGGAUUAGAUACCCUGGUAGUCCACGCCGUAAACGAUGUCUACUUGGAGGUUGUGCCCUUGAGGCGUGGCUUCCGGAGCUAACGCGUUAAGUAGACCGCCUGGGGAGUACGGCCGCAAGGUUAAAACUCAAAUGAAUUGACGGGGGCCCGCACAAGCGGUGGAGCAUGUGGUUUAAUUCGAUGCAACGCGAAGAACCUUACCUGGUCUUGACAUCCACGGAAGUUCAGAGAUGGAUUUGUGCCUUCGGGAACCGUGAGACAGGUGCUGCAUGGCUGUCGUCAGCUCGUGUUGUGAAAUGUUGGGUUAAGUCCCGCAACGAGCGCAACCCUUAUCCUUUGUUGCCAGCGGUCCGGCCGGGAACUCAAAGGAGACUGCCAGUGAUAAACUGGAGGAAGGUGGGGAUGACGUCAAGUCAUCAUGGCCCUUACGACCAGGGCUACACACGUGCUACAAUGGCGCAUACAAAGAGAAGCGACCUCGCGAGAGCAAGCGGACCUCAUAAAGUGCGUCGUAGUCCGGAUUGGAGUCUGCAACUCGACUCCAUGAAGUCGGAAUCGCUAGUAAUCGUGGAUCAGAAUGCCACGGUGAAUACGUUCCCGGGCCUUGUACACACCGCCCGUCACACCAUGGGAGUGGGUUGCAAAAGAAGUAGGUAGCUUAACCUUCGGGAGGGCGCUUACCACUUUGUGAUUCAUGACUGGGGUGAAGUCGUAACAAGGUAACCGUAGGGGAACCUGCGGUUGGAUCACCUCCUUACCUUAAAGAA